Long non-coding RNA from Gopherus evgoodei (Goodes thornscrub tortoise), 281 nucleotides. RefSeq lists it as uncharacterized. The record is from RefSeq and is a predicted model, not a curated record. Lineage: Eukaryota; Metazoa; Chordata; Testudines; Testudinidae. The transcript has 3 exons.
CGAAAUCCCGCCUAGCCCUGCUCACCUGCCCGCCGAUCCCGAGCUUCCCCGCAGGGCCGCACUGGCAGGCUCAGCCCCACAAAAAGAGUAUCUCUUACAACCAACCAGUGCCAUCCACCCCAAGCUAAUGCCAUGAGAGACCUGCCAGUUCAAACCCUACAGGCAACUUUAGAAGACUUACAGUUCAUAGCAAGAUGAAGUCUGAAGGAACAGCGAGUCUGGAGUAAAGGGAUUAAUGUUCACGUGUGGUGUCCGUCUCAUAACAGCAUCCCGCUUUUCUG